Molecule: long non-coding RNA, 838 nt
Organism: Diuraphis noxia (Russian wheat aphid)
Lineage: Eukaryota; Metazoa; Arthropoda; Insecta; Hemiptera; Aphididae
Source: RefSeq, a predicted model, not a curated record
CCAUCAACCAUCUGUGGCGUCUCGCGUAACGCGUUUCAGCGUUUGUCAUUUGUUAUUUUGCAGCCUGGAGACUGUGAGGAUGUGUGUCGUGUCGUGCUGAACUAUAAUCGCGGGCUGGUACACGGACCUCGGGCAAAUGGACUCGUCUGUGGUCCUGUCGGUCCGCGGUUCCUGGUUGCCCGGUUUUUCAUCGUUUCCGUUGAUCGUUAGCUCUGGCGCCAAUCCGUCGCGUAUGCAUUUMAAAAAUUGAAAUCGCUAUGCGUGGCCAACCAUCUCUAUGUUUCCAUUGUCAACGCCUCAACGGACUGAUGGGCACGCACGCACCUCCGGCGGUGCGAUCAUCGAAUCACUCAUCAGUGCACCACAAUAUUAGUCUGGCAGGCAGCGAGACGUCCAGCCACCGCUUCGCCGAAAAAUAACUUGAUUCCUUAACUCUCAAAAUAUCAACUUAUCGCACAAUAACAGUAGUUAGGAUAGAAGAAGAAAACACGCUAAAACCGUUGACUAUUCAGAAUGGAAUUUUACAUAUUUAAGAGACACUUGUCCAAGCACUAGUAAGUUUGCCUUGUCAAUGACUGCUAAAAUGACUACUACAGAACACAUCAUACCCUUCUUCCUCGUGAUCUURUCUACACAACCUUAUGGUCUUAUAGUAAGCAAAAACAUCAGAAUGAAUUUUCUUAGGAAAAAAUCCCUGGUAAAACUUAUUGUACAUUGCCAAAGUAAGUAUAAAGGAAACAAGUAUCAUCAAUGUAAAAAUCAAUCCAUCCGUUACAUUGUAUAAAUUAUUAAUGAAAUGUAUAAUUUACGAUUAUCAUAAAAUAAGUAAUAAUAUUGA